Molecule: long non-coding RNA, 1751 nt
Organism: Oncorhynchus tshawytscha (Chinook salmon)
Lineage: Eukaryota; Metazoa; Chordata; Actinopteri; Salmoniformes; Salmonidae
Source: Ensembl
CUAGGUUUUGGCCUUUCUAGGGAGUUUUUCCUAGCCACUGUGCUUCUACACCUGCAUUGCUUGCUGUUUGGGGUUUUAGGCUGGGUUUCUGUACAGCACUUUGAGAUAUCAGCUGAUGUACGAAGGGCUAUAUAAAUACAUUUGAUAUGAUUUGUGGAUUAUGCCCCCAUUAAAUGGGGUAUCAGCCUGCUCAGUGACACUCACAGAACACAGCUAUAUAGAGGUUACAGAGGUAUUAGCAUGUUAGCUCUUAUUGCAGGACUGACUGGGAAAUCACCAUUCCAGUCAAUCUAUUGUGUGUAUUGACAUUCAUAUUGCAGUUUACAGCCUAACCGAUGGAUGUUGCUCAAAUGGAGUAUCAGCCUACUUUGUGACAGUCACAGAACGCAACUGUGUAGAGUUUACAUGAAGCACAAAAUGAAACCUGAUUCAAGCCAUCUACAUUUCAUUAGAUGGCUUCAUUAAUUUCAUGAAUAAUUCAAAAUGAAUGAUUACAACAGGCAUAUCAUAAAACUGUAUCACUCAACUACAUCUUUCUAUAACAGUUGGUGUGAAAACAAGGCAGAUGUUAUCGCUAAGAAUUAAGAAAGAGCUCGUCCUUGAACUAAGAGACAUUUCAGAUGAUGGGAUCAAAGGCUGUCUUGCACUGCAAAUAACCCAUCGGAGUGGGACUUGUAGCAUGCGCAAUAUCCAUGCAAUAUCCAUGCAUCCCAGACAUUACUAGUGAAGAUGGACAUGACAACACAAGGUCAUUUGCCUACACGUUUUCCUCUAUCCUCCAUACAGAACAAGUACACGUGAAUUGUCUAGUGCAGUGGUUCCCAACCUUUUUAUAUUUCUGUACCCCUUCAAACCUUGAACCAGCUGCGUACCCCCUCUAGCACCAGGGUCACCUGUUCCCCUUCUAGCACCAGAGACAGCGCACUCUCAAAUGUUGUUUUUUGCCAUCAUUGUAAGCCUGCCACACACACACACUAUACGAUAUACUAUACUAUUAAACAUAAGAAUGAGGGUGAGUUUCUGUCACAACCCGGCUCGUGGGAAGUGACCAAGAGCUCUUAUAGGACCAGGGCACAAAUAAUAAUAUUAUAAUAAUCAAUAAUUUUGCUCUUUAUUUAACCAUCUUACAUAUAAAACCUUAUUUGUUCAUCAAAAAUUGUGAAAAACUCACCACAGGUUAAUGAGAAGGGUGUGCUUGAAAGGAUGUACAUAACUCUGCAAUGUUGGGUUGUAUUGGAGAGAGUCUCUGUCUUAAAUCAUUUUCCACACAGUCUGUGCCUGUAUUUAGUUUUCAUGCUAGUGAGGGCUGAGAAUCCACUCUCACAUAGGUACGUGGUUGCAAAGGGCAUCUUAACAGGGCGAUUUGCCAAGGCAGGAUACUCUGAGUGCAGCCCUAUACAGAAAUCGGGCUGUGGCUUCUGAUGAAAAUACAUUUUCACAGAACUGCUUGUUGCAAUUUCGAUGAGGCUCUCUUGUUCAGAUAUCAGUAAGUGGACUGGAGGCAGGGCAUGAAAGGGAUAACGAAUCCAGUUGUUUGUGUCAUCCGUUUCAGGAAAGUACCUGCGUAAUUGCGCACCCAACUCACUCAGGUGCUUCCUUUAUAUAUAUCCCUCUAGUGGUGUGGGGGCUGUGCUUUGGCAAAGUGGGUGGGGUUAUAUCCUUCCUGUUUGGCCCUGUCUGGGGGUGACCUCGGAUGGGGCCACAGUGUCUCCUGACCCCUCCUGUCUCAGCCUCCAGUAUUUAUGCUGCAG